This 394-nucleotide long non-coding RNA is filed under the name Lupinus angustifolius (narrow-leaved blue lupine). Its description in RNAcentral is "long non-coding RNA (LANG_LNC003176)". The record is from RNAcentral. Lineage: Eukaryota; Viridiplantae; Streptophyta; Magnoliopsida; Fabales; Fabaceae.
CAGGUGGAAGGUUGGGGCCAAUGACGCAAGUUCCUUUUGUAAAGCUUCGACCCUUGCAAUAACCAUUACAAUCAGGAUUUAGACUACAUGUUGUUGGACAAAUCAAGUCGGCAUUGGCUGCAAUAAUACUUUAUAUUAUUAGUAAAAGAGAAUAAUAUCAAAUAACAAUUAAGUAUUAAUCUAGCUUAUUAGUCUAGAUAAAAAAUGAUAAUGAACUAUAAACAAAGUUGUAUGAGCAAAUAAUUCUUGAAAUAUUAAAUAUUUGUUUUGUUCUUAGCUUACAUACCAUGAAAGAAAAGGAGAACUCCAACAAUGACUACGGAGAAAAAUUUCAAAACAGCCAUUUGGUUAAAGCUGGGACUACGAAUCUUGUUCUGUUGCUUUUAACAAUAGG